RNAcentral lists this transfer RNA (90 nucleotides) under Chloroflexota bacterium. RNAcentral's name for it is "Chloroflexi bacterium tRNA-Ser". It matches the Rfam family "tRNA". Rfam says of the family: Transfer RNA (tRNA) molecules are approximately 80 nucleotides in length. Their secondary structure includes four short double-helical elements and three loops (D, anti-codon, and T loops). The record is from RNAcentral. Lineage: Bacteria; Bacillati; Chloroflexota.
GGAGAGGUCGCCUAGUGGUCUAUGGCGCCGCAUUGGAAAUGCGGUUUGGGGGCAACUCCAUCGUGGGUUCGAAUCCCACCCUCUCCGCCA